AAAUAAGUUAAAACUUUCAACAACGGAUCUCUUGGUUCUGGCAUCGAUGAAGAACGCAGCGAAAUGCGAUAAGUAAUGUGAAUUGCAGAAUUCAGUGAAUCAUCGAAUCUUUGAACGCACAUUGCGCCCGCCAGUACUCUGGCGGGCAUGCCUGUUCGAGCGUCAUUUCAACCCUCAAGCCCUGCUUGGUGUUGGGGUCCUACGGCUGCCGUAGGCCCUGAAAGCUAGUGGCGGGCUCGCUAUAACUCCGAGCGUAGUAGUAAAAUAUCUCGCUAGGGAGGUGUCGCGGGUUCCGGCCGUGAAAGCCCAUCUUUUACACAAGGUUGACCUCGGAUCAGGUAGGAAUACCCGCUGAACUUAAGCAUAUCAAUAAGCGGAGGAAAAGAAACCAACAGGGAUUGCCCCAGUAACGGCGAGUGAAGCGGCAACAGCUCAAAUUUGAAAUCUGGCUUCGGCCCGAGUUGUAAUUUGUAGAGGAUGCUUUUGGUGAGGUGCCUUCUGAGUUCCCUGGAACGGGACGCCAGAGAGGGUGAGAGCCCCGUAUAGUUGGACACCGAGCCUCUGUAAAGCUCCUUCGACGAGUCGAGUAGUUUGGGAAUGCUGCUCAAAAUGGGAGGUAUAUCUCUUCUAAAGCUAAAUACUGGCCAGAGACCGAUAGCGCACAAGUAGAGUGAUCGAAAGAUGAAAAGCACUUUGAAAAGAGGGUUAAAUAGUACGUGAAAUUGUUGAAAGGGAAGCGCUUGUGACCAGACUUGUGCCCGGCUGAUCAUCCAGUGUUCUCACUGGUGCACUCUGCCGGGCUCAGGCCAGCGUCGGUUCU
RNAcentral lists this ribosomal RNA (820 nucleotides) under Sordariomycetes sp. genotype 9. RNAcentral describes it as "eukaryotic LSU rRNA". The stretch from base 325 to 820 matches the Rfam family "Eukaryotic large subunit ribosomal RNA", at positions 1 to 509 of the family's 3401-position model. Lineage: Eukaryota; Fungi; Ascomycota; Sordariomycetes. The record is from RNAcentral.